GACUCGAAUCUCAGAGUCCAUAAAAUGCUCUCUGACCUUUUCUUUGUGUACCUCUUGGAGUCGACUCUUACUACCCUGGAGUCGACUCGUUGAACAUUGGAGUCGACUCGCGCACUUCAAGAGUCGACUCGUUGACAGGUUCUGAGAUGAGGUUUUCUGUUCUUCUUUCUGUUCUCAGUCGGAGUCGACUCGUACUAGUCUGGAGUUGACUUGAGCUCGUGCCAGUGAACUUGAUACGCUUGGAGUCGACUCGUGAUACUCGGGAGUCGACUCGAGUCUCAGACUUUGGUUCAGCAGACUUCUUAACUUAUCCAAAAUACUAUGAACCAAAUCUAGAGACACUUGGACAGGAUUUUCACUGAAACACUCAAUUGAAUUCAUUAGUAAUCACAAGAUAUACUCAAAUGCUUUGAGCUCAUCAAAAUCAAAUGGGGUUUUAAUCAAUCACUCCACAAU
RNAcentral lists this long non-coding RNA (456 nucleotides) under Phoenix dactylifera (date palm). RNAcentral's name for it is "long non-coding RNA (PDAC_LNC003073)". Lineage: Eukaryota; Viridiplantae; Streptophyta; Magnoliopsida; Arecales; Arecaceae. The record is from RNAcentral.